RNAcentral lists this ribosomal RNA (426 nucleotides) under uncultured bacterium. RNAcentral describes it as "bacterial SSU rRNA". It matches the Rfam family "Bacterial small subunit ribosomal RNA", at positions 354 to 796 of the family's 1533-position model. The record is from RNAcentral.
GUGAGGAAUUUUCCGCAAUGGGCGAAAGCCUGACGGAGCAAUGCCGCGUGAAGGAUGAAGGCCUAUGGGUUGUAAACUUCUUUUCUCAGAAAAGAAUUAUGACGGUAUCUGAGGAAUAAGCAUCGGCUAACUCUGUGCCAGCAGCCGCGGUAAGACAGAGGAUGCAAGCGUUAUCCGGAAUGAUUGGGCGUAAAGCGUCUGUAGGUUGUUUAAAAAGUAUUCUGUCAAAGAUUAGGGCUUAACCCUAGAUAGGCAGAAUAAACUUUUAAGCUAGAGUUUGGUAGAGGCAGAGGGAAUUCCCGGUGGAGCGGUGAAAUGCGUAGAUAUCGGGAGGAACACCAAAGGCGAAGGCACGCUGCUGGGCCAAUACUAACACUGAGAGACGAAAGCGAGGGGAGCAAAUGGGAUUAGAUACCCCGGUAGUCC